UACCUCUCAGGGCUGCAUCUGGAGCGUUUCCAGUACUCUACCAGUCUUGACUACGGGAGGGAGAGUCAAGCAGAGGUAUACCCAUUCCAUUCCCAGCUUGGGCAGUGGCUAGCGAGUGGAAGGCCAUCUGCUACAAGU
Ornithorhynchus anatinus (platypus) is the source of this 138-nucleotide non-coding RNA. The record is from Rfam. Lineage: Eukaryota; Metazoa; Chordata; Mammalia; Monotremata; Ornithorhynchidae.